CCCUUAGACGUUCUGGGCCGCACGCGCGCUACACUGACCAGUGCAACAAGCAUCCGUCCUUGGCCGACAGGCUCGGGCAAUCUUUGAACGCUGGUCGUGAUGGGGAUAGACUUUUGCAAUUUUUGGUCUUCAACGAGGAAUUCCUAGUAAACGCAAGUCAUCAACUUGUAUUGAUUACGUCCCUGCCCUUUGUACACACCGCCCGUCGCACCUACCGAUUGAAUGGUCCGGUGAAGCCUCCGGAUUGGCGCGCACCUCGGUGCCGCCGAGAAGUUGGCUAAACCUUACCAUUUAGAGGAAGGUGAAGUCGUAACA
This 315-nucleotide ribosomal RNA is filed under the name uncultured eukaryote. RNAcentral describes it as "partial 18S ribosomal RNA". It matches the Rfam family "Eukaryotic small subunit ribosomal RNA", at positions 1470 to 1796 of the family's 1831-position model. The record is from RNAcentral.